Molecule: ribosomal RNA, 255 nt
Filed under: uncultured bacterium
Lineage: Bacteria
Description: partial 16S ribosomal RNA
Rfam family: Bacterial small subunit ribosomal RNA
Source: RNAcentral
GUCCACGCCGUAAACGAUGGAUACUAGCUGUUGGGAGCAAUCUCAGUGGCUAAGCGAAAGUGAUAAGUAUCCCACCUGGGGAGUACGGGCGCAAGCCUGAAACUCAAAGGAAUUGACGGGGGCCCGCACAAGCGGUGGAGCAUGUGGUUUAAUUCGAUGAUACGCGAGGAACCUUACCAAGGCUUAAAUGUAGAUUGACCGGUUUGGAAACAGAUCUUUCGCAAGACAAUUUACAAGGUGCUGCAUGGUUGUCGU